GACGAACGCUGGCGGCGGGCUUAACACAUGCAAGUCGAACGGAAAGGCACCCUUGUGGGGUACUCGAGUGGCGAACGGGGGAGAAACGCGGGAGAAACCUACCCUUGACUUUGGGAGAAGGUCAGGAAACGGGGACUAAUACCGGAAAGGAGCUCGUGCUGCAGGGGGGGGGUGGGAAGGUUUGGGCGGGGGGGGAUGGGCUGCGGGCUUAUCAGCUUGUCGGGGGGGUAGGGGCUAAGCAAGCCAUGGCGGGGAAGCCGGCCUGAGAGGGGGGCCGGCCACCUUGCUCCUGCGAUACGGCCCAGACUCCUACGGGAGGCAGCGGUGGGGAAUAUUGCCCAAUGGGCGGACGCCUGUUGCAGCAACGCCGCGUGCGUGAUGCCGGCCUUCGGGUUGUGAACCGCUUCCGCCUGUGACGAAGCGUGAGUGACGGUAAUGGGUAAAGAAGCACCGGCUAACUACGUG
RNAcentral lists this ribosomal RNA (465 nucleotides) under uncultured bacterium. RNAcentral describes it as "partial 16S ribosomal RNA". It matches the Rfam family "Bacterial small subunit ribosomal RNA", at positions 28 to 507 of the family's 1533-position model. The record is from RNAcentral.